This 365-nucleotide long non-coding RNA is filed under the name Athene cunicularia (burrowing owl). Its description in RNAcentral is "lncRNA (ENSACUG00000000998.1)". The record is from RNAcentral. Lineage: Eukaryota; Metazoa; Chordata; Aves; Strigiformes; Strigidae.
GGGAGCAGAAAUAUGGGAGCUGCUUAAGCCAGCACUUCUACUGAAACGAAGGCUUGUGCAACUGGAGGCUAAGCCCAGACCAAGAGAAGCUCUCUUUUGCCUUGCUCUGAGUCAUGAGGACCUCAAAGAAAGGGAUCCACGCUGCCCUGCCAGCCCUCCUUGUUUGGGGCAGAAUGAACAGGCUCGCAGGGCUCACAGGCAUUCGAGCUGUGUCCUGGCCCUCACUGUUUCCUCUGAAGGAAGAUGAGCACAGCAGAGGAGGAACUUCACCCGUCCAGAGGACUCACACAUGGAGAGUGUGAGUUUCACUGUUUUAGUGGAGAGGCAAUGACACUGGUGAGUCUGUGCAGCUGGUUAGUUAUUUC